UCAGCCUCCCAAAGUGCUGGGAUUACAGGCAUGAACUACAUUGCCUGGUGCUGUGAUUUUAAGUUGUACUUUAGGAUAUCUUACUCACAGUUCCAAGAACCAGUACCCAGGAGAACGUCUGGCACAUAGAUGCUUCACUUUGCUUGUACUUGUUGGCUGUUACAAGAUCAAUAACCAGCAUGAAAAUCCCCGUCUCACAACCCUUUGAAAAGUGAAGAGAUUAAUGUCUAGCGAGGAGAUGGUGGUGUGACAGAGGCCACAUAGCCACCGAGUGGGUGAGCUGGAACUCAAAUCUAGAAUAAUGAGGUCUUCAAAAAUUGUUAUUAGUGAAAUCUACAAGACUGAAGAAAGCAGAAGAGAGAUGGAGGGACAGGUGGAAUAACUUGGGGAGAAUUCUGUGCUUCCUGCAAUGAGAAGGCAUCUAACUGUCCAGGGACAAGGAGAAGGAUUUGGAGUCAAAAUCUAUUUUGAAGGAUGAGUUCAGUAUUCAUGGCAAUAAGACUUCUUUUAGGGACAUUUGGUGUUGCAUUGAUGUGUCCAUCAGAGGCUAUAAUUACUGAGAACAGACAUGAUACUCUGGAAAAUAAGCAUAGUGUCCUGAAUGGAACUAUUCACAGCUGGCAUAUGGCAAAGACACAUCCUUGUUUACUAAAGUCGGAAACACCUGAGUAUUUCAUGUCCUUCAAAAGUUUCCUUGAUGAGUGUUUCUCAUUGUUGUGUCCCGCAGGUCUGCCAUCAUGGGAUCUUUAUGCCUACCCUAAUCGUAAUAUAAACCCAUUUAUCCAUGUUCUAUUAUAAAAUAUAUAUGAAAAACAUGAAAUGUUCAUUCUUAUGAUAAUUCCACACAUUCUUCAUGAACCUUCUAAAACUACCCCACAGUUUUUGCUUUUCUUUUCUGGAGAACAAAUAAUCUCAUUUCCUUUUAUCUUUCCCCAGAGGUCCCAUUUUCCCAUGCUUUAA
Molecule: non-coding RNA, 960 nt
Organism: Saimiri boliviensis boliviensis (Bolivian squirrel monkey)
Lineage: Eukaryota; Metazoa; Chordata; Mammalia; Primates; Cebidae
Source: RefSeq, a predicted model, not a curated record